Molecule: unclassified non-coding RNA, 306 nt
Filed under: plant metagenome
Description: partial contains 5.8S ribosomal RNA, internal transcribed spacer 2, and large subunit ribosomal RNA
Rfam family: 5.8S ribosomal RNA (bases 1-105)
Source: RNAcentral
GAAAUGCGAUAAGUAAUGUGAAUUGCAGAAUUCAGUGAAUCAUCGAAUCUUUGAACGCACAUUGCGCCCGCCAGUAUUCUGGCGGGCAUGCCUGUCCGAGCGUCAUUUCAACCAUCAAGCCCCCGGGCUUGUGUUGGGGACCUGCGGCUGCCCGCAGGCCCUGAAAACCAGUGGCGGGCUCGCUGUCACACCGAGCGUAGUAGCAAUCACCUCGCUCAGGGCGUGCUGCGGGUUCCGGCCGUUAAACAGCCUUACAAAACCCAAGGUUGACCUCGGAACAGGUAGGAAGACCCGCUGAACUUAAGC